RNAcentral lists this ribosomal RNA (328 nucleotides) under uncultured eukaryote. Its description in RNAcentral is "partial 18S ribosomal RNA". It matches the Rfam family "Eukaryotic small subunit ribosomal RNA", at positions 1470 to 1796 of the family's 1831-position model. The record is from RNAcentral.
CCCUUAGAUGUCCUGGGCCGCACGCGCGUUACACUGAUGCAUUCAACGAGCUUAUAACCUUGGCCGAGAGGCCUGGGCAAUCUUGUUAACGUGCAUCGUGAUAGGGAUAGAUUAUUGAAAUUAUUAAUCUUGAACGAGGAAUUCCUAGUAAACGCAGAUCAUCAAUCUGCAUUGAUUACGUCCCAGCCCUUUGUACACACCGCCCGUCGCACCUACCGAUUGGAUGGUCCGGUGAAGCCUCGGGAUUGUGGUUCUUGCCGCUUUAUUGUGGCGUGACCGCGAGAACUUGUCUAAACCUUAUCAUCUAGAGGAAGGUGAAGUCGUAACA